AACAAACGCUGGCGGCAGGCCUAACACAUGCAAGUCGAGCGCCCUUUCGGGGGAGCGGCGGACGGGUGAGUAACGCGUGGGAAUAUGCCCUUCUCUACGGAAUAGCCUCGGGAAACUGAGAGUAAUACCGUAUACGCCCUAUGGGGGAAAGAUUUAUCGGGGAAGGAUUAGCCCGCGUUGGAUUAGGUAGUUGGUGGGGUAAUGGCCUACCAAGCCGACGAUCCAUAGCUGGUUUGAGAGGAUGAUCAGCCACACUGGGACUGAGACACGGCCCAGACUCCUACGGGAGGCAGCAGUGGGGAAUCUUAGACAAUGGGGGCAACCCUGAUCUAGCCAUGCCGCGUGAGUGAUGAAGGCCUUAGGGUUGUAAAGUUCUUUCAGCUGGGAAGAUAAUGACGGUACCAGCAGAAGAAGCCCCGGCUAACUCCGUG
This 431-nucleotide ribosomal RNA is filed under the name uncultured bacterium. Its description in RNAcentral is "partial 16S ribosomal RNA". It matches the Rfam family "Bacterial small subunit ribosomal RNA", at positions 29 to 507 of the family's 1533-position model. The record is from RNAcentral.